UGGACAGAUUACUGUAUUCGACGGCGUGAAACAGGGGAUUACACUGUUUUUAAACGGGAAGUGUAUCAAUUAACAUAAAAAACUCCU
RNAcentral lists this microRNA precursor (87 nucleotides) under Nicotiana attenuata. RNAcentral's name for it is "MIR6152 microRNA precursor family". It matches the Rfam family "MIR6152 microRNA precursor family". Lineage: Eukaryota; Viridiplantae; Streptophyta; Magnoliopsida; Solanales; Solanaceae. The record is from Rfam by way of RNAcentral.